This 445-nucleotide ribosomal RNA is filed under the name uncultured bacterium. RNAcentral describes it as "bacterial SSU rRNA". It matches the Rfam family "Bacterial small subunit ribosomal RNA", at positions 354 to 796 of the family's 1533-position model. The record is from RNAcentral.
GUGAGGAAUAUUGGUCAAUGGGCGAGAGCCUGAACCAGCCAAGUCGCGUGAAGGAAGACUGCCCUAUGGGUUGUAAACUUCUUUUGUACAGGGGUAAAGGACAUCACGAGUGGUGUUUUGCAAGUACUGUACGAAUAAGCAUCGGCUAACUCCGUGCCAGCAGCCGCGGUAAUACGGAGGAUGCAAGCGUUAUCCGGAUUUAUUGGGUUUAAAGGGUGCGUAGGCGGUAUUACAAGUCAGGGGUGAAAUCUUGGUGCUUAACAUUAAAAUUGCCUUUGAAACUGUGGUACUUGAGUGUAAGAGAGGUAGGCGGAAUGUGUUGUGUAGCGGUGAAAUGCUUAGAUAUAACACAGAACCCCGAUUGCGAAGGCAGCUUACUAUAAUACAACUGACGCUGAUGCACGAAAGCGUGGGGAUCAAACAGGAUUAGAUACCCUUGUAGUCC